GGGCCGUUAGCUCAGUUGGUAGAGCAGCUGACUCUUAAUCAGCGGGUCCGGAGUUCGAGUCUCCGACGGCCCACCA
RNAcentral lists this transfer RNA (76 nucleotides) under bacterium. Its description in RNAcentral is "tRNA-Lys". It matches the Rfam family "tRNA". From Rfam's summary of the family: Transfer RNA (tRNA) molecules are approximately 80 nucleotides in length. Their secondary structure includes four short double-helical elements and three loops (D, anti-codon, and T loops). Further hydrogen bonds mediate the characteristic L-shaped molecular structure. tRNAs have two regions of fundamental functional importance: the anti-codon, which is responsible for specific mRNA codon recognition, and the 3' end, to which the tRNAs corresponding amino acid is attached (by aminoacyl-tRNA synthetases). tRNAs cope with the degeneracy of the genetic code in two manners: having more than one tRNA (with a specific anti-codon) for a particular amino acid; and 'wobble' base-pairing, i.e. permitting non-standard base-pairing at the 3rd anti-codon position. The record is from RNAcentral. RNAcentral also lists the same sequence under 3 other names.